RNAcentral lists this non-coding RNA (91 nucleotides) under Listeria aquatica. RNAcentral's name for it is "Glycine sequence". It matches the Rfam family "Glycine riboswitch aptamer". Rfam says of the family: This family represents the bacterial glycine riboswitch. Glycine riboswitches usually consist of two metabolite-binding aptamers domains with similar structures in tandem. The record is from RNAcentral. Lineage: Bacteria; Bacillati; Bacillota; Bacilli; Caryophanales; Listeriaceae.
UUGAAUGUAAACGGAGAGACUGUUUGAACAGCGCCGACGGGGAAAGCAUAGACUAUGUGAAACUCUCAGGCAAAAGGAUGUUUACAGGACG